RNAcentral lists this long non-coding RNA (555 nucleotides) under Prunus persica (peach). RNAcentral describes it as "long non-coding RNA (PPER_LNC001880)". The record is from RNAcentral. Lineage: Eukaryota; Viridiplantae; Streptophyta; Magnoliopsida; Rosales; Rosaceae.
UCACUUUUUAAUAUGGAAGAUUUCUGGGGAUUUGAGUGGCACGGUUGGGUAGAGCUAGUCGAUACGAGUUCGUAAACACGUAGUGGGCCCAAAUUGGAGUUUUAACGAAGAAGUUACGGUCAUCGGAAGUGCAGUGGCAUAACCGUAAUUUUUUCAAACUCGGAUUUUUUUAAAAACAGGUCAGCCUUCUUUCUCUCUUCUCCUCUCUCUCUCUCUCCUCCCCCGAUUCUCUUUCCUCCCUCUCAUGUCGUCGCGACAGCCGGAUUUUCCGGCGCCACAAGCUCCAAAAUCUUCCUCUCCUCCUCCUCUACACAACCCACCCAAUUUCCUGACCCAAUUUCUAGCCGUGAAGAGACUGGAACGAGGGCCACAACGUUUCUGGCAACCAAAAUUGUCGAAUCAGAUAUGGUUUCUCACCCUCCCAAUGCGUUUUGGCUGUUUUGAUGGUUGAUUUCCAUCGAUUUGAUGCCGUGCAUGUGCUGAUGGACUCAUCAACUAUGCCCAUUUUUAUUGGGCUUUUUAUUGUGUGGACAAAAGACCCAAUGCCUCAUGGUG